UACGUAGGGUGCGAGCGUUAAUCGGAAUUACUGGGCGUAAAGCGUGCGCAGGCGGUUAUAUAAGACAGAGGUGAAAUCCCCGGGCUCAACCUGGGAACUGCCUUUGUGACUGUAUAGCUUGAGUGCGGCAGAGGGGGAUGGAAUUCCGCGUGUAGCAGUGAAAUGCGUAGAUAUGCGGAGGAACACCGAUGGCGAAGGCAGCUCGCUGGGACGGUACUGACGCUGAGACGCGAAAGCGUGGGGAGCAAACAGG
Molecule: ribosomal RNA, 253 nt
Filed under: uncultured bacterium
Lineage: Bacteria
Description: partial 16S ribosomal RNA
Rfam family: Bacterial small subunit ribosomal RNA
Source: RNAcentral